This 253-nucleotide ribosomal RNA is filed under the name uncultured bacterium. RNAcentral's name for it is "partial 16S ribosomal RNA". It matches the Rfam family "Bacterial small subunit ribosomal RNA", at positions 524 to 776 of the family's 1533-position model. The record is from RNAcentral.
UACGGAGGAGGCAAGGGUUUUCCGGAAUUAUUGGUUGUAAAGCGUCCGUAGGUGGUUUUCCAAGUCAGCUGUCAAAGGAUGAGGCUCAACCUCAUAAGGGCAGUGCAAACUGGUGCGCUAGAGUGCGGUAAGGGUACGGGGAAUUCCUGGUGUAGCGGUGAAAUGCGUAGAUAUCAGGAAGCACACAGGUCGCGAAAGCGCCCUACUGGGCAUGCACUGACACUGAGGGACGAAACCUAGGGGAGCGAAAGGG